AUACAUAGGGGGCAAGCGUUAUCCGGAUUUACUGGGCGUAAAGGGAGCGUAGACGGAAGGCCAAGUCUGAUGUGAAAGCCCGCGGCUCAACCGCGGCAUGGCAUUGGAAACUGGCGGGCUGGAGUGCAGGAGGGGCAAGCGGAAUUCCCGGUGUAGCGGUGGGAUGCAUAGAGAUUGGGAGGAACACCAGUGGCGAAGGCGGCCUGCGGGACAUCCACUGACGCUGAGGAGCGAAAGUGUGGGGAGCAAACAGGAUUAGAUCCCCUGGUAGUCCUCACCGUAAACGAGGGAUACUAGGUGUGCGGGGACUGACCCCCUGCGUGCCGGAGUUAACACAUUAAGUAUCCCACCUGGGGAGUACGAUCGCAAGAUUGAAACUCAAAUGAAUUGGCGGGG
This 396-nucleotide ribosomal RNA is filed under the name uncultured bacterium. RNAcentral describes it as "partial 16S ribosomal RNA". It matches the Rfam family "Bacterial small subunit ribosomal RNA", at positions 523 to 918 of the family's 1533-position model. The record is from RNAcentral.